AAUCCUAGACUCAGCCAUACUGGGGGAGAUGACCCAACUUCAUUGCCAUGGUUGCAGAAUGGGAAGGACAAAUCUGCCCACUGCAGGAAAAAAAGUUCUAUUCCAGAUGAAGAGUAACUAGAAAAAAUAUGUAUCUCUGAACAUUAGAAUCACACUCAGCCUGAUGAGAUGCUCACACCGAGGAAUACCGGAAGUGAGACUGACUAAACGGACCUGAGGUAGAGGACAGGCAUAAAACUGCCUGCCCUUGUUUUCCCCAUCCUUCCCCACAACUCGGAGAAUGCAGAGGCGGUUGUGUUUACUGCAGCGAGGGCUGUCAGGAUUUAAAUUAAAGACAGAUCUUCAACAUCCCUGACGGCAGCAAAGAUGUCUAUGAUAGUAACACGGGGUGAAGCGGCUGAGUGGAAGAAGAUAUAGAGUGCUGUAGAGAAAAGUAUUGGAGAACAAGAAGAGUGAUGCAGAAAAUGAAACGCAGGGACACAAAGAAAAAGCACGCAGUUCUGGACAUAUUUAUGAAGACUUAAGCUGGGACUUCCUCUGCACACCAGCUCCCUCCCCUGCCCCCAGCUCUACAGACAUGACCGCACUUCCCACCUCCCGGGUUUCCCACAGCCGAGUGGUGCCCUGAGUCUCUUCCUAUGUCCAAUCCUAUGGUUUUGUUUCCUUUGCUUUUUCUUUCCUGCCCACUUUGUAGUUAUAGGUAUUUGCUGAAGCUCAGACCUUGGCUCAUUUCCUUUCUCAUUCUUACUGAACUGAGAAGUUGGAAUGCUUCAAUCAACAGCACUGUGCCGACAGCCUCUCUCAUCCUGGAUCGCAGCCCCUAAGACAUGUCUUCCUGGAUAUUCCAGGGUUCUUUCACAUAUCUAACACAUACUGCAUCUUCACUGCUGCAUCCCAAUUUUCCCAGACCCACAAUGUGAAAAUUUUUAUUAUUUGGUCCUGAAACCUUUUGCAUCAUCCUACCUAUCAAAUCUGCCACAGUCCUUGUUGACUUUUAAAAAGUUUUACUAGGGUACCACGUCCAGUGUCUUGACCCCAGGCUGGUAACCAUCGCUUGCCCAUUACUCUGCACCAGCUUCU
This 1080-nucleotide long non-coding RNA is filed under the name Homo sapiens (human). Its description in RNAcentral is "long non-coding RNA NONHSAT200725.1". Lineage: Eukaryota; Metazoa; Chordata; Mammalia; Primates; Hominidae. The record is from RNAcentral.